GACGAACGCUGGCGGCGUGCUUAACACAUGCAAGUCGAACGGAAAGGCCCUGCUUGCAGGGUACUCGAGUGGCGAACGGGUGAGUAACACGUGGGUGAUCUGCCCUGCACUUCGGGAUAAGCUUGGGAAACUGGGUCUAAUACCGGAUAGGAACCAUCUUUAGUGUGGUGGUUGGAAAGUUUUUUCGGUGUAGGAUGAGCUCGCGGCCUAUCAGCUUGUUGGUGGGGUAAUGGCCUACCAAGGCGGCGACGGGUAGCCGGCCUGAGAGGGUGUACGGCCACAUUGGGACUGAGAUACGGCCCAGACUCCUACGGGAGGCAGCAGUGGGGAAUAUUGCACAAUGGGCGCAAGCCUGAUGCAGCGACGCCGCGUGGGGGAUGAAGGCCUUCGGGUUGUAAACUCCUUUCGCUAGGGACGAAGCUUUUUUGUGACGGUACCGAGAUAAGAAGCACCGGCUAACUACGU
This 465-nucleotide ribosomal RNA is filed under the name uncultured bacterium. RNAcentral's name for it is "partial 16S ribosomal RNA". It matches the Rfam family "Bacterial small subunit ribosomal RNA", at positions 28 to 506 of the family's 1533-position model. The record is from RNAcentral.